This 507-nucleotide unclassified non-coding RNA is filed under the name Hevea brasiliensis (rubber tree). Lineage: Eukaryota; Viridiplantae; Streptophyta; Magnoliopsida; Malpighiales; Euphorbiaceae. The record is from RNAcentral.
GAAUGUUCAUUUCAAGAUAGUAACAAUGGAGAGAAAAAAACAAAGAAAGAGGGUUUAGUUAAACCCCUGAUUCAACCAAGGCCAGCAGGGGGUUUAUUAUCGAAAUACAAAGGUGUUCGUCAACGAAAAUGGGGGAAAUGGGCUGCUGAAAUUCGUGAUCCAUUUAAAGGCAGACGUGUUUGGUUGGGUACCUAUAAUACCGCUGUGGAGGCUUCUCGAGCUUACGAAUUGAAACGUCUUGAAUUUGAAACUAGGGCGAAGAUCAGUAGGACAAAUGUGUCUAAGCAGAGUUCUGGUUCAAUGGUCUCCGAGUACCAAAAUCAGAGCCAAAAUGUUGCUAGUGGUGUCUCAGAUGACUAUGCAGAAAGCUCGGUAUCACGUACUUCACACUCCUUGUCGUCAUCAUCAGUUCUUGAAUUGGACACUUUAACUUCUGUAUCCGCAUCUGCUCCAAUUUUAAGACUUAAUGGCCCAAACGAUAAUGAAAAGGUGAGCAAUGUUGCGCCU